ACGUUUUCAUCCUUUGGGUGAAAAUCAAUUGACUGUUAUACUUCCAAGAAAAGCUCGUACUACUGUAAAAUAAGAAUUACCUGUACCGUAAACCGACACAGGUGGGUUGGUAGAGUAUACCAAGGGGCGCGAGAUAACUCUCUCUAAGGAACUCGGCAAAAUGACCCCGUAACUUCGGGAGAAGGGGUGCCAAGUAACUCAACAUUGCUUGGUCGCCGUGACCAGGCCCAGGCGACUGUUUAUCAAAAACACAGGUCUCCGCAAAGUCGUAAGACAACAUAUGGGGGCUGACGCCUGCCCAGUGCCGGAAGGUUAAGGAAGUUGGUUAUUCAUUCGUGGAGAAGCUGACGACCGAAGCCCCGGUGAACGGCGGCCGUAACAAUAACGGUCCUAAGGUAGCGAAAUUCCUUGUCGGGUAAGUUCCGACCCGCACGAAAGGCGUAACGAUCUGGGCGCUGUCUUGGAGAGAGACUCGGUGAAAUAGACAUGUCUGUGAAGAUGCGGACUACCUGCACCUGGACAGAAAGACCCUAUGAAGCUUGACUGUAGCUUGGAAUUGGGUUCGGGCUCUUCUUGCGCAGCCUAGGUGGGAGGCGUUGAAAGUUUUCUUUCGGGAAAACUGGAGCCAACAGUGAGAGACCACUCUGGAGGAGCUAGAAUUCUAAUGGCGUUCCUUGAAGCAGGACGCUUGACAGUUUCAGGUGGGCAGUUUGACUGGGGCGGUCACCUCCUAAAAGGUAACGGAGGUGUGCAAAGGUUCCCUCAGGCUGGACGGAAAUCAGCCGGAGAGUGUAAAGGCAGAAGGGAGCUUGACUGCAAGACCUACAAGUCGAGCAGGGGCGAAAGCCGGCCUUAGUGAUCCGACGGUUCCAUGUGGAAGGGCCGUCGCUCAACGGAUAAAAGUUACUCUAGGAUAACAGGCUGAUCUUCCCCAAGAGUUCACAUCGACGGGAAGGUUUGGCACCUCGAUGUCGGCUCAUCGCAACCUGGGGCGGUAGUACGUCCCAAGGGUUGGGCUGUUCGCCCAUGAAAGCGGUACGUGAGCUGGGUUCAGAACGUCGUGAGACAGUUCGGUCCAUAUCCGGUGUAGGCGUUAGAGCAUUGAGAGGAGCCUUCCAUAGUACGAGAGGACCUGGAAGGACGCACCUCUGGUAUACCAGUUAUCAUGCCAAUGGUAAACGCUGGGUAGCCAAGUGCGGAGUGGAUAACCGCUGAAAGCAUCUAAGUGGGAAGCCCACCUCAAGAUGAGUGCUCUCUAACAGGUCACGGCAAGACAAGCCGGUUGGUAGGUGUCAGGUGGAAGGCCAGUAAUGGUUGCAGCUGAGACAUACUAAUAGACCGAUCGAUUUU
This 1350-nucleotide ribosomal RNA is filed under the name metagenome. RNAcentral describes it as "bacterial LSU rRNA". It matches the Rfam family "Bacterial large subunit ribosomal RNA", at positions 1567 to 2925 of the family's 2925-position model. The record is from RNAcentral.